UAUGGGUUGCAAAGUUUUAAUUAGUUUAUCAACACCCCAGUAAAGGAAGAGGAACAGUCAAGAUUGGGCACAAAGAAUAGACCAACUGUGAAGUCGGCCUGAUAGUGCCAUGACUCAAGCAAUGGAGAAUUCUGGGCAGCGUCAUCAUUGUUCUUGGUCACCGGAUGUGCGUUCUGCGGAAGGGUGUGACUUCCGGUGGCUCUCUUACUGCAGCCGGUACCUAAGGGAAUGACAACCGAAGGGUUUCUUCUUGCUGUACUACUUACGACUGGAGUGGGAUGCAAGCCAGUGUAAAUGAAAUAUCACAGCUCUCUAAUUAGGAGAGAGAUAUGGAAGAGGCUGAUCCUCUGAAAGCUCAAGUGAACAUACGGAAACAAAAUCCCGUGGGAGUGUUUGUAGUCAACACUACCCCGAAUUCCUUGGAAAGAAGGAGCUGCUGUGUGUAAGAUAUCUUGUAGAAGCACUUCCCUUAAAACUACACAUUUUAUUAUUAACAUCAAGCAAAUGUUAACAAUUGCACACUAGUUGUGUCGUGCUUUUUACGUUUUUGCAUUAUGGUUAUACAUUUGUUUAUAGGAGGUUUUGAGGCGUUGAUGGUACUGAGUUUUCUUUUCAGAGCUACCCACAGAAAUGAAAAAAUGGACAGGAAAUCAUUUAUGUGCUUUCUCUGGAUCAAUAAUCUCUGAGUCUGACUGAUUAGUGUCCUCAAAUGCUAUCAAAGCUGAUUGCACAACCCCGAGAAUAAAGGUGUAGGUGGUGCAAAAAGGAUUACCGUUCUCACUGUGAACUCCGUUUCUGGGUUUUUUUUUUUCCUUUCAGGUUACAGAAGGAAGAGCCUAAAGAAAAAUGUAGGUCAAGUGCUUUUAUCCUCUACAAAUUUCACAACAGCAAUCAUGAAAUCACAGUGACUGGCCCUGAUUUUCAAUGGUGGGAAAGAAGGGCAAUAGGGGCUGGACCUCACAUGCUCCUCCGAGAGGAAGAAGCCUCAUCGUCAAAAGGUGACAAGGCCCCCAUCCGCAGAUGGAAACAGCAGAGGAGCAAGGCCAUCUGCGAUCUCCCAAAGCAAGUAAAA
Molecule: long non-coding RNA, 1072 nt
Filed under: Chinchilla lanigera (long-tailed chinchilla)
Lineage: Eukaryota; Metazoa; Chordata; Mammalia; Rodentia; Chinchillidae
Description: lncRNA (ENSCLAG00000028117.1)
Source: RNAcentral